This 72-nucleotide transfer RNA is filed under the name Heterocephalus glaber (naked mole-rat). It matches the Rfam family "tRNA". From Rfam's summary of the family: Transfer RNA (tRNA) molecules are approximately 80 nucleotides in length. Their secondary structure includes four short double-helical elements and three loops (D, anti-codon, and T loops). Lineage: Eukaryota; Metazoa; Chordata; Mammalia; Rodentia; Bathyergidae. The record is from Rfam by way of RNAcentral.
AUGGAUGUAGUUCAGUGGUUGAGCAUUUGCCUGGCGUUCAUAAGGCCCUAGGUUCAAUUCCCAGUAUCUGGG